RNAcentral lists this ribosomal RNA (483 nucleotides) under uncultured bacterium. RNAcentral's name for it is "partial 16S ribosomal RNA". It matches the Rfam family "Bacterial small subunit ribosomal RNA", at positions 30 to 507 of the family's 1533-position model. The record is from RNAcentral.
UUGAACGCUGGCGGCAGGCCUAACACAUGCAAGUCGAGCGGAUGAAGGGAGCUUGCUCCUGGAUUCAGCGGCGGACGGGUGAGUAAUGCCUAGGAAUCUGCCUGGUAGUGGGGGAUAACGUCCGGAAACGGGCGCUAAUACCGCAUACGUCCUGAGGGAGAAAGUGGGGGAUCUUCGGACCUCACGCUAUCAGAUGAGCCUAGGUCGGAUUAGCUAGUUGGUGGGGUAAAGGCCUACCAAGGGGACGAUCCGUAACUGGUCUGAGAGGAUGAUCAGUCACACUGGAACUGAGACACGGUCCAGACUCCUACGGGAGGCAGCAGUGGGGAAUAUUGGACAAUGGGCGAAAGCCUGAUCCAGCCAUGCCGCGUGUGUGAAGAAGGUCUUCGGAUUGUAAAGCACUUUAAGUUGGGAGGAAGGGCAGUAAGUUAAUACCUUGCUGUUUUGACGUUACCAACAGAAUAAGCACCGGCUAACUUCGUG